UACGUAGGUCCCGAGCGUUGUCCGGAUUUAUUGGGCGUAAAGCAAGCGCAGGUGGUUUAUUAAAUCUGGUGUAAAAGGCAGUGGCUCAACCAUUGUAUGCAUUAGAAACUGGUAGACUUGAGUGCAGGAGAGGAGAGUGGAAUUCCAUGUGUAGCGGUGAAAUGCGUAGAUAUAUGGAGGAACACCGGUGGCGAAAGCGGCUCUCUGGCCUGUAACUGACACUGAGGCUCGAAAGCGUGGGGAGCAAACAGG
This 252-nucleotide ribosomal RNA is filed under the name uncultured bacterium. RNAcentral describes it as "partial 16S ribosomal RNA". It matches the Rfam family "Bacterial small subunit ribosomal RNA", at positions 524 to 776 of the family's 1533-position model. The record is from RNAcentral.